This is a non-coding RNA of Microcebus murinus (gray mouse lemur), 450 nucleotides long. Lineage: Eukaryota; Metazoa; Chordata; Mammalia; Primates; Cheirogaleidae. The record is from RefSeq and is a predicted model, not a curated record.
GUCAGGAUGCCUGGGAAAUCUAACGGGUUUUGCCUGUCAGAUUCCUAACUUGGCUGGGCUUGGCCUAGCGCUCUCAAAACUGACCUUUUCUGGCGGUCUUAGGACCCAUUCGUGGACUCUCUCCUCCGUCGUCUGUACCUUUCUCCACAGUCGCUGAAACAUCAGCAGCCAUGGGUACCACAGCAUCUGUAAUGUGCUGCCCAGCAGCUGUGUGUUCCUUGUGCUCUGGAGAGGAGUACACAGAGGAGGUUCAAAGAAGAAUGUUGGAAUGGUACAUGCACAACAUGCCAAAGAGCAGCUUUGUGGGGUGCCUGCAAAGAGCUGGUGAGGUUUAUGCAGAGAAUAUAUUAAUCACCUUUCAGAAGCUGCAAGCAAAAAUCAUAAAAAAGGAGCUGGCAAAUACACGAUGCCAGAUGGUGGCUGACAUAACCAUCCUGUUCCUCAAGAGAA